GUGUAUCUGUUCGGCCGCUGUUUUUAUGUGGUGAUCUGAGUUUUCUGGUUUUUUGGAUAGUUACGGUUACCUUUGACGACGAUUGAUUAACAAGACAUCGGGUGAAGAUUCAACGAGCCAGGCGCCUUACAGCUGACAAUCUGCGUGAUCGGUGCUGUCCUGUGCACUGCAAACGCCAUUCUUAAAAGCCUCGCACUGGGAGCUCUUGGUCUGGGAGCUGGUGCACUCUUGGGAUCCGCUUUGGCCCGCGGUGGUGGCGGUGGUGGCUACGGCGGUGGGUGGGAGCCCUACCCGAGGGCCUGGCACGGUGGAGGAUCCGGAGGUCCUGGUUUCGGCUUCCACGUCGGCUUCCACGGAUAGAUCUCACCGAUAACAAUACAGGCUGCGAUCAUUCCCCAAAGCACGAGAAGUCACGGAAAACCACGACCUGCACGAAACACAGUACAAAAAUGAAAAUUCCUGGAAUAAACCUUGUAAAUAUUGCCUUUUCUAUA
Dermacentor albipictus is the source of this 494-nucleotide long non-coding RNA. RefSeq lists it as uncharacterized. The record is from RefSeq and is a predicted model, not a curated record. NCBI's taxonomy places the organism in Eukaryota, Metazoa, Arthropoda, Arachnida, Ixodida, Ixodidae.